CCUACGGGAGGCAGCAGUGAGGAAUAUUGGUCAAUGGGCGCUAGCCUGAACCAGCCAAGUAGCGUGAAGGAUGACUGCCCCAUGGGUUGUAAACUUCUUUUAUCUGGGAAUAAAGUGCAGUAUGUAUACUGCUUUGCAUGUACCUUAUGAAUAAGGAUCGGCUAACUCCGUGCCAGCAGCCGCGGUAAUACGGAGGAUCCGAGCGUUAUCCGGAUUUAUUGGGUUUAAAGGGAGCGUAGGCGGGUUGUUAAGUCAGUUGUGAAAGUUUGCGGCUCAACCGUAAAAUUGCAGUUGAUACUGGCAGCCUUGAGUACAGUAGAGGUAGGCGGAAUUCGUGGUGUAGCGGUGAAAUGCUUAGAUAUCACGAAGAACUCCGAUUGCGAAGGCAGCCUGCUGGACUGUAACUGACGCUGAUGCUUGAAAGUGUGGGUAUCAAACAGGAUUAGAUACCCCAGUAGUC
This 460-nucleotide ribosomal RNA is filed under the name uncultured bacterium. RNAcentral's name for it is "partial 16S ribosomal RNA". It matches the Rfam family "Bacterial small subunit ribosomal RNA", at positions 338 to 795 of the family's 1533-position model. The record is from RNAcentral.